UGGGGAAUAUUGCACAAUGGAGGGAACUCUGAUGCAGCGACGCCGCGUGAGUGAUGAAGGAAUUCGUUUCGUAAAACUCUGUUCUAUGGGAAGAAAAGGACUGUACCAUAGGAGAAAGCUCCGGCUAAAUACGUGCCAGCAGCCGCGGUAAUACGUAUGGAGCGAGCGUUGUCCGGAAUUAUUGGGCGUAAAGGGUGCGCAGGCGGCUUUACAAGUUGGAUGUGAAAUAUUGUGGCUCAACCACAAACGUGCAUCCAAAACUGCAAAGCUUGAGUGAAGGAGAGGUAAGUGGAAUUCCUGGUGUAGCGGUGGAAUGCGUAGAUAUCAGGAGGAAUACCGGUGGCGAAGGCGACUGACUGGACUUAAACUGACGCUCAGGCACGAAAGCGUGGGGAGCAAACAGG
Molecule: ribosomal RNA, 404 nt
Filed under: Fusobacteriota bacterium
Lineage: Bacteria; Fusobacteriati; Fusobacteriota
Description: Fusobacteria bacterium partial 16S ribosomal RNA
Rfam family: Bacterial small subunit ribosomal RNA
Source: RNAcentral